CAGUAGCCGCGGUAAUACGUAGGGUGCAAGCGUUAAUCGGAAUUACUGGGCGUAAAGCGUGCGCAGGCGGCGAUGCAAGACAGAUGUGAAAUCCCCGGGCUCAACCUGGGAACUGCAUUUGUGACUGCAUUGCUGGAGUACGGCAGAGGGGGAUGGAAUUCCGCGUGUAGCAGCGAAAUGCGUAGAUAUGCGGAGGAACACCGAUGGCGAAGGCAAUCCCCUGGGCCUGUACUGACGCUCAUGCACGAAAGCGUGGGGAGCAAACAGGAUUAGAUACCCGAGUAGUCCCUGUCUCUUAUAA
This 301-nucleotide ribosomal RNA is filed under the name uncultured bacterium. RNAcentral describes it as "partial 16S ribosomal RNA". It matches the Rfam family "Bacterial small subunit ribosomal RNA", at positions 509 to 809 of the family's 1533-position model. The record is from RNAcentral.